RNAcentral lists this ribosomal RNA (702 nucleotides) under uncultured Sphingobium sp. Its description in RNAcentral is "bacterial SSU rRNA". It matches the Rfam family "Bacterial small subunit ribosomal RNA", at positions 28 to 776 of the family's 1533-position model. The record is from RNAcentral. Lineage: Bacteria; Pseudomonadati; Pseudomonadota; Alphaproteobacteria; Sphingomonadales; Sphingobiaceae.
AACGAACGCUGGCGGCAUGCCUAAUACAUGCAAGUCGAACGAGACCUUCGGGUCUAGUGGCGCACGGGUGCGUAACGCGUGGGAAUCUGCCCUUGGGUUCGGAAUAACGUCGGGAAACUGACGCUAAUACCGGAUGAUGACGAAAGUCCAAAGAUUUAUCGCCCAGGGAUGAGCCCGCGUAGGAUUAGCUAGUUGGUGAGGUAAAGGCUCACCAAGGCUACGAUCCUUAGCUGGUCUGAGAGGAUGAUCAGCCACACUGGGACUGAGACACGGCCCAGACUCCUACGGGAGGCAGCAGUAGGGAAUAUUGGACAAUGGGGGCAACCCUGAUCCAGCAAUGCCGCGUGAGUGAUGAAGGCCUUAGGGUUGUAAAGCUCUUUUACCCGAGAUGAUAAUGACAGUAUCGGGAGAAUAAGCUCCGGCUAACUCCGUGCCAGCAGCCGCGGUAAUACGGAGGGAGCUAGCGUUGUUCGGAAUUACUGGGCGUAAAGCGCACGUAGGCGGCGAUUUAAGUCAGAGGUGAAAGCCCGGGGCUCAACCCCGGAACUGCCUUUGAGACUGGAUUGCUUGAAUCCUGGAGAGGUGAGUGGAAUUCCGAGUGUAGAGGUGAAAUUCGUAGAUAUUCGGAAGAACACCAGUGGCGAAGGCGGCUCACUGGACAGGUAUUGACGCUGAGGUGCGAAAGCGUGGGGAGCAAACAGG